GAUGAACGCUGGCGGCGUGCCUAAUACAUGCAAGUCGAGCGAACAGAUGAGGAGCUUGCUCCUCUGACGUUAGCGGCGGACGGGUGAGUAACACGUGGAUAACCUACUUAUAAGACUGGGAUAAUUACGGGAAAACGGAGAUAAUACAGGAUCAUAUAUUGAACCGGAUGGUUCAAUAGUGAAUGACGGCUUUGCUGUUACUUAUAGAUGGAUCCGCGCUGCAUUAGCUAGUUGGUAGGGUAACGGCUUACCAAGGCAACGAUGCGUAGCCGAUCUGAGAGGAUGAUAGGCCACACUGGAACUGAGACACGGUCCAGACUCCUACGGGAGGCAGCAGUAGGGAAUCUUCGACAAUGGGCGAAAGCCUGACGGAGCAACGCCGCGUGAGUGAAGAAGGUCUUCGGAUCGUAAAACUCUUUUAUUAGGGAAGAACAAAAGCGUAUGUAACUAUGGACGUCUUGACGGUACCUAAUCAAAAAGCCACGGCUAACUACGUG
Molecule: ribosomal RNA, 497 nt
Filed under: uncultured bacterium
Lineage: Bacteria
Description: partial 16S ribosomal RNA
Rfam family: Bacterial small subunit ribosomal RNA
Source: RNAcentral